This is a long non-coding RNA of Oncorhynchus masou masou (cherry salmon), 405 nucleotides long. RefSeq lists it as uncharacterized. The transcript has 3 exons. NCBI's taxonomy places the organism in Eukaryota, Metazoa, Chordata, Actinopteri, Salmoniformes, Salmonidae. The record is from RefSeq and is a predicted model, not a curated record.
UCUGCGUUUUUAUGAUUUAUACGUUUUAACGUUGCGAGAUCACCACGUUCCGGACUGUCACAACAAAAGUCAGUGCGUGUCCCCAGCAGAGCCAACGGGCUCGACUCCGUCGGGUUGGAACUUACCGGAGGUUCAAAACAGCUGGAAAAAUGCACCGAGAGGAGAAAGAAAACAAAUGGAGGGAAGAGAAGAAAAACCAGUAGUUUGCUUCUUGCCUCACUAAAUGAGCAGCACUUCUCUCCAGCACAGGUGAAACAGAAAAGACCACAGUAUGGAGCUGGAGAAAGCAUGGAGCAAGCACGGAGCAGCAUGGAGCAAGCACGGAGCAGUAUGGAGCAGCACGGAGCAGCAUGGAGCAAGCACGGAGCAGCAUGGAGCAAGCACGGAGCAGUAUGGAGCAAGCAC